CUCGUAGGCGGUUCGUCGCGUCCGGUGUGAAAGUCCAUCGCUUAACGGUGGAUCCGCGCCGGGUACGGGCGGGCUUGAGUGCGGUAGGGGAGACUGGAAUUCCCGGUGUAACGGUGGAAUGUGUAGAUAUCGGGAAGAACACCAAUGGCGAAGGCAGGUCUCUGGGCAGUAACUGACGCUGAGGAGCGAAAGCGUGGGGAGCGAACA
Molecule: ribosomal RNA, 207 nt
Filed under: uncultured bacterium
Lineage: Bacteria
Description: partial 16S ribosomal RNA
Rfam family: Bacterial small subunit ribosomal RNA
Source: RNAcentral